AUUGAACGCUGGCGGCAGGCCUAACACAUGCAAGUCGAGCGGAGCGGCGGACGGGUGAGUAAUGCCUAGGAAUCUGCCUGGUAGUGGGGGAUAACGUCCGGAAACGGGCGCUAAUACCGCAUACUAUCAGAUGAGCCUAGGCCGGCUUAGCUAGGUGGUGGGGUAAAGGCCUACCAAGGCGACGAUCCGUAACUGGGCUGAGAGGAUGAUCAGUCACAAGGGAACUGAGACACGGUCCAGACUCCUACGGGAGGCAGCAGUGGGGAAUGGUGGACAAUUGGCUGAAGCCUGAUCCAGCCAUGCCACGUGUGUGAAGAAGGUCGUCAGAUUGUAAAGCUCUUUAAGUUGGGAGGCGUUAUCAACAGAAUAAGCACCGGCUAACUUCGUGCCAGGAGCCGCGGUAAUAG
Molecule: ribosomal RNA, 407 nt
Filed under: uncultured bacterium
Lineage: Bacteria
Description: partial 16S ribosomal RNA
Rfam family: Bacterial small subunit ribosomal RNA
Source: RNAcentral